This 203-nucleotide ribosomal RNA is filed under the name uncultured bacterium. RNAcentral describes it as "partial 16S ribosomal RNA". It matches the Rfam family "Bacterial small subunit ribosomal RNA", at positions 1299 to 1500 of the family's 1533-position model. The record is from RNAcentral.
UGCAGUCUGCAACUCGACUGCAUGAAGCCGGAAUCGCUAGUAAUCGCGGAUCAGAAUGCCGCGGUGAAUACGUUCCCGGGUCUUGUACACACCGCCCGUCACACCAUGGGAGUCGGAAAUGCCCGAAGCCGGUGGCCUAACCGAUAAGGGAGGAGCCGUCGAAGGCAGGUCUGAUGACUGGGGUNAAGUCGUAACAAGGUAAC